AUACGGAGGGGGCAAGCGUUGUUCGGAGUCACUGGGCGUAAAGAGCUCGUAGGCGGCAGUGUAAGUCGGGAGUUAAAGGCAACAGCUUAACUGUUGUAAGGCUUCUGAAACUACAUUGCUAGAGUACCAGAGAGGUAAGCGGAAUUUCCUGUGUAGCGGUGAAAUGCGUAGAUAUAGGAAGGAACACCGGUUGCGAAGGCGGCUUACUGGCUGGUAACUGACGCUGAGGAGCGAAAGCGUGGGUAGCAAACAGGAUUAGAUACCCUGGUAGUCCACGCUGUAAACGAUGGGUGCUAGGUGUUGGAAGUAACCACUUUCAGUGCCGAAGCUAACGCAUUAAGCACCCCGCCUGGGGAGUACGUACGCAAGUAUGAA
This 375-nucleotide ribosomal RNA is filed under the name uncultured bacterium. RNAcentral's name for it is "bacterial SSU rRNA". It matches the Rfam family "Bacterial small subunit ribosomal RNA", at positions 523 to 898 of the family's 1533-position model. The record is from RNAcentral.